UACAGAGGUGGCAAGCGUUGUUCGGAAUUACUGGGCGUAAAGGGCGCGUAGGCGGCCCGUCAAGUCCCGUGUGAAAGCCCCCGGCUCAACCGGGGAACGGCGCGGGAAACUAGCAGGCUUGAGUUCGGGAGAGGGAAGCGGAAUUCCGGGUGUAGCGGUGAAAUGCGCAGAUAUCCGGAGGAACACCGGUGGCGAAGGCGGCUUCCUGGACCGACACUGACGUUGAGGCGCGAAAGCUAGGGGAGCAAACGGG
This 253-nucleotide ribosomal RNA is filed under the name uncultured bacterium. RNAcentral's name for it is "partial 16S ribosomal RNA". It matches the Rfam family "Bacterial small subunit ribosomal RNA", at positions 524 to 776 of the family's 1533-position model. The record is from RNAcentral.